This 433-nucleotide ribosomal RNA is filed under the name uncultured bacterium. Its description in RNAcentral is "partial 16S ribosomal RNA". It matches the Rfam family "Bacterial small subunit ribosomal RNA", at positions 29 to 507 of the family's 1533-position model. The record is from RNAcentral.
AACGAACGCUGGCGGCAUGCCUAACACAUGCAAGUCGAACGAGACCUUCGGGUCUAGUGGCGCACGGGUGCGUAACGCGUGGGAACCUUCCCUUAGGUUCGGAAUACCUCCCCGCAAGGGGUGCUAAUACCGGAUAAUGUCUUCGGACCAAAGAUUUAUCGCCUUUGGAUGGGCCCGCGUUGGAUUAGCUAGUUGGUAGGGUAAAAGCCUACCAAGGCUACGAUCCAUAGCUGGUCUGAGAGGAUGAUCAGCCACACUGGGACUGAGACACGGCCCAGACUCCUACGGGAAGCAGCAGUGGGGAAUAUUGGACAAUGGGCGAAAGCCUGAUCCAGCAAUGCCGCGUGAGUGAUGAAGGCCUUAGGGUUGUAAAGCUCUUUUACCCGGGAUGAUAAUGACAGUACCGGGAGAAUAAGCUCCGGCUAACUCCGUG